CAUAAAUGCAUGUGUUUUUUUUCAUUUUAUAUCUAUUUCAAUUGGGUAUUUUGACUUUUUCAGGUAGAGAAAUGUCUGCGACUAAGCCGAGGGCCACUGCAUAAGAGUAAUUGAUUGCAAAACAGGGUGGAGACUACAUGAGAUUUUGACAGAUGGCGGGAAACCCUCAUCAACUGGAGAUCAGCCGGUAGAGAAAUGUCUGCGACUAAGCCGAGGGCCACUGCAUAAGAGUAAUUGAUUGCAAAACAGGGUGGAGACUACAUGAGAUUUUGACAGAUGGCGGGAAACCCUCAUCAACUGGAGAUCAGCCGGUAGAGAAAUGUCUGCGACUAAGCCGAGGGCCACUGCAUAAGAGUAAUUGAUUGCAAAACAGGGUGGAGACUACAUGAG
Molecule: long non-coding RNA, 390 nt
Organism: Dreissena polymorpha
Lineage: Eukaryota; Metazoa; Mollusca; Bivalvia; Myida; Dreissenidae
Exons: 6
Source: RefSeq, a predicted model, not a curated record